RNAcentral lists this ribosomal RNA (261 nucleotides) under uncultured archaeon. RNAcentral describes it as "partial 16S ribosomal RNA". It matches the Rfam family "Archaeal small subunit ribosomal RNA", at positions 748 to 1009 of the family's 1478-position model. The record is from RNAcentral.
UAGCCGUAAACGAUACUCGCUAGGUGUCGGCCACGGUGCGACCGUUGUCGGUGCCGUAGGGAAGCCGUGAAGCGAGCCACCUGGGAAGUACGGCCGUAAGGCUGAAACUUAAAGGAAUUGGCGGGGGAGCACCACAACGGGUGGAGCUUGCGGUUUAAUUGGAUUCAACGCCGGAAAUCUUACCGGGACCGACAGCAACAUGAAGGCCAGGCUGAAGACUUUGCCGGAUUAGCUGAGAGGAGGUGCAUGGCGUAGUCGUGU